CACGCCUACGGGGGGCAGCAGUGGGGGAUAUUGCACAAUGGGGGAAACCCUGAUGCAGCGACGCCGCGUGGGUGAAGAAGCGCCUCGGCGCGUAAAGCCCUGUCAGCAGGGAAUAAAAUGACGGUACCUGAAGAAGAAGCCCCGGCUAACUACGUGCCAGCAGCCGCGGUAAUACGUAGGGGGCAAGCGUUAUCCGGAUUUACUGGGUGUAAAGGGGGCGCAGACGGCGAUGCAAGCCAGGAGUGAAAGCCCGGGGCCCAACCCCGGGACGGCUCUUGGAACUGCGGGGCGAGAGCGCAGGAGGG
RNAcentral lists this ribosomal RNA (305 nucleotides) under uncultured bacterium. RNAcentral's name for it is "bacterial SSU rRNA". It matches the Rfam family "Bacterial small subunit ribosomal RNA", at positions 334 to 656 of the family's 1533-position model. The record is from RNAcentral.